This 1423-nucleotide long non-coding RNA is filed under the name Astyanax mexicanus (Mexican tetra). Its description in RNAcentral is "lncRNA (ENSAMXG00005019511.1)". The record is from RNAcentral. Lineage: Eukaryota; Metazoa; Chordata; Actinopteri; Characiformes; Acestrorhamphidae.
GAAGUGACAUUCAGCAGAGCCUGGCAGAGUCCAGCCGGAUUGUACAAUAACCAGAGUUCACUGUUUUGGAAUGAAACCCAGCCAAGGGCCUACACAAUCACAGAUGAAGAAAGAAAAAGCCGUCUGUGCAUUACAACAGGAGGUACAGUCUGGUUUAUAGCAAUGCCUGAAGGAAUGACAGCACAGGGAACGAUGUGAACACACUCUGAGUAAAUAUUGAUCUGUCUUGUUCCCUAAAAGCGGCCCUGGAUAUACAGCGUCAGUCAACAGGAUCUUCCUUCAGCUCGUCUAGCGGAUGAAACGGCGAGCGUGUGGCGCACAUAUAGGGAUAAUAAUGCUGAUGGAUUCAACACAGUCAAGAAGAAAAACACCAGCUGGGAGUGGAUGUGGUACUAUUGUGACUCACACAAGCACACACACACACACUUUGUGUUUGCGUUCGGAGGAGUGUGUGGGAGUGUUUCUUAAUAGAGGUGAUAUGGAGGGUGUGAUGUGUUUUCUCGAUUUCCAGUCUGCAGUAAGAAAAGUACAUGCAGAGACAUAAGGAUACCUACAGCAGCCAGGGGUGCAACUACAUACUUUUUAAGGUGUAUGCAAACAUACUAUUGCUCCGCAAAACCAGCGAGCUGAUUGGCUGUUUCCCCUGAAAGGCGGAACUUUAUCUUUGAACUGGCUCCGUGAUUCGCGUCAAGAGAAAGCGAAACGAUUCGGGCCUACUGGAAAUUUAUUCGGGACUAGUUCCGGAAGCCCAGGCCAGGCGACAGCUCUUACAGAAUAUGCCGACUAGAAAUCUUUUUCCAGCAUUGAUUUGGCGCCUUCUUUAGUACAGCGACCCUAUGCGUUGCAUACGCUGCAUACCCCCUUUUUGCGCCACUGACAGCAGCACUACCUUCAUAUCCCAGCUAACAAUUUUUGCGCGGUGGAGGUGUUUGGACAGACAGAGUCUGGCCUGGAUUUCUCCCAACUGGAGCACAAACUCAUCCAUCUUCUCCCCUCAGAAUAAACCCGUUCUUCUCAUGUGCUGCUUUGUAUCCCCCACUUUCCUUUCUUUUCUUUCUUCCUCUCUCUCUCUCUCUCCUUCUCUCUCGGCUUCAGUGAAGUCGUUUCCUAUUCAGCCUCGGGAGUCAGAAGCCUGUAAACAGAGCUCGGUUUAAUCCGCCCACUUUUUUCACACGACUCAGCGCUUUGCAUUGCGCAUGCUCACAGCGGGCCUCCCGCGCCUGUGUGUUGUUGUGUUUGAUGUAGCAGACAGGCCGCUCUGCUUUUCUGAGAGCAGAGCUGAAGAGAGAGAAAGAAAGAAGAGAAAGAAAGAAAGAGUUUCCACUAAAAACAAAAGAGACCUGCAUUUUUAAUGAUUUCGUUUGUGCAGUAUGUUUCUGCACUCUGAUAAAAAAGACUGGUAUUGAAAGUGAAAGAGCCUAAG